RNAcentral lists this long non-coding RNA (1282 nucleotides) under Homo sapiens (human). Lineage: Eukaryota; Metazoa; Chordata; Mammalia; Primates; Hominidae. The record is from RNAcentral.
CUCAUUUUUCUACUGCUCGUGGAUUUACGCGCACGUUGGAACCGAAGAGAGCUCUGUUGUUGCAAUGUUCAGCCCACAAGAGCUUACUGGUGAAGGAAUGGGACAAGACCCAUCUUUAUGCAAAGCCAGCGUUACAGUAAUGUUCCAGCAUCUCAUAAUCUAUCCUGGGGAAUUCAGCUGCCUCCCAGGGUGAAUACAGGUAUUCCUGAUGACAGUCUGCCUCUAUCUUACAGAGCAGCUUGUUGCUAUAUACCAUUGAAAAGCCUUCAGAGCUGAGAGGUUAGUUGAUAUUUUUUGUUCCUUACAGCUUAUGCCACCAAGUAGGCAGUUUCUAUGAUGAAUCAAACUAGCUCACUAUGACCGACAGUGAAAAUACAUGAACACCUGAGAAACUGGAGAACGCAGGGAGUGGGGGGUAACCAUGUCUGAGGAAUCUUUCACCCACAGCUUUGUUUUUCUCUAGGUACUACUAACCAAUAACCUGCUUGGCUCAAAGGGCCAGCACCUUCUCUCUAAAGCCCAAGAGGAGUUUGAGGAAAACUAGGUGUCUGUGUUCACUCCAGGCUGAAGUUACAGGUCUGAGCAAAUAAGGUGUAUAAAAAAUGGACAUCAGAAGGUGAAUUUUCCAAGUUCUUGGACAACCUAGCUGUUGAAAAGCUUUCUGGGUUUGGGGGGUAUUUCAGAUGUACCUUAAAGUGUUAGCAGACACAGAUUAAGACACUGGGAGCCAAUGAAACAGCAGUUGAGGGUUUGCUGUGUAUCACAUUUCUGUAUUUUAUCACCCCCUUCCUGCAACAUUAUUUAUCUGGAAUCUACCUGCCCUUUUGUUUUUUAGAUACAAGGGCUUGGUUUUGUUACCCAGGCUGGUUUCAAGGCCAUAGCUUUAAGAGAUCCUCUCACCACAGAUUUCCAAAGUGCUGGGAUUGCAGGUGUGAUUCAUGGCACCCAGACUUUGCUGCCUUUCUUACAUGAUCCAGGCCCAGAACCCAAACUCAGGCACUGUAUAGAUGACCACUUUCGUAAACUACUGACCUAGCUUGUUGCCAAUUGUUGAUUGAACUUCCCAUAACUCCACUUCGUGUCUGUUCCUCUGUAUACAGCCACCUUCUGUUCCCGUCAUGAGCCUUUAGGUCUCCAUUUGCAUAUUGCAAAUACUAUGUUCCAUGUAGGUAGCUCAUUCAGGGCCUUGCUCUUCACUUCAAAAAAGGUUCCCUUGAGGACUGGCUGUCAAUUUGUGUUGCUGUGUUGGUUGUUGAUGAAAAUAAUAAAAUGAUUGAUUACA